GUGUCAGCCGCCGCGGUAAUACGUACUGUGCGAACGUUAUUCGGAAUCACUGGGCUUAAAGGGUGCGUAGGCGGCCAAUUAAGUAGGGUGUGAAAUGCCAGAGCUCAACUUUGGCAUUGCGCUCUAGACUGGCUGGCUUGAGUGAGAUAGGGGUGUGCGGAACUUCCAGUGGAGCGGUGAAAUGUGUUGAUAUUGGAAGGAACGCCGGUGGCGAAAGCGGCACACUGGGUCUUAACUGACGCUGAGGCACGAAAGCCAGGGGAGCGAACGGGAUUAGAUACCCCGGUAGUCCUGGCUGUAAACGAUGAGCACUAGACGGGAGAGGCUUUACGCCUAUUCGGUCGUAGCAAAAGCGCUAAGUGCUCCGCCUGGGGAGUAUGGUCGCAAGGCUGAA
This 394-nucleotide ribosomal RNA is filed under the name uncultured bacterium. RNAcentral describes it as "bacterial SSU rRNA". It matches the Rfam family "Bacterial small subunit ribosomal RNA", at positions 505 to 898 of the family's 1533-position model. The record is from RNAcentral.